GACGAACGCUGGCGGCGUGCUUAACACAUGCAAGUCGAGCGGUAAGGCCCUUUCGGGGGUACACGAGCGGCGAACGGGUGAGUAACACGUGGGUGACCUGCCCUCAGCUCUGGGAUAAGCCUGGGAAACCGGGUCUAAUACUGGAUAUGACUCCAUGACGCAUGUUGUGGGGUGGAAAGCCUUGUGCGGCUGAGGAUGGGCCCGCGGCCUAUCAGCUUGUUGGUGGGGUGAGGGCCUACCAAGGCGACGACGGGUAGCCGGCCUGAGAGGGCGACCGGCCACACUGGGACUGAGACACGGCCCAGACUCCGUACGGGAGGCAGCAGUGGGGAAUCUUGCGCAAGU
Molecule: ribosomal RNA, 345 nt
Filed under: uncultured bacterium
Lineage: Bacteria
Description: bacterial SSU rRNA
Rfam family: Bacterial small subunit ribosomal RNA
Source: RNAcentral